RNAcentral lists this ribosomal RNA (746 nucleotides) under Escherichia coli. RNAcentral's name for it is "partial 23S ribosomal RNA". It matches the Rfam family "Bacterial large subunit ribosomal RNA", at positions 1 to 780 of the family's 2925-position model. The record is from RNAcentral. Lineage: Bacteria; Pseudomonadati; Pseudomonadota; Gammaproteobacteria; Enterobacterales; Enterobacteriaceae.
GGGUUGUGAGGUUAAGCGACUAAGCGUACACGGUGGAUGCCCUGGCAGUCAGAGGCGAUGAAGGACGUGCUAAUCUGCGAUAAGCGUCGGUAAGGUGAUAUGAACCGUUAUAACCGGCGAUUUCCGAAUGGGGAAACCCAGUGUGUUUCGACACACUAUCAUUAACUGAAUCCAUAGGUUAAUGAGGCGAACCGGGGGAACUGAAACAUCUAAGUACCCCGAGGAAAAGAAAUCAACCGAGAUUCCCCCAGUAGCGGCGAGCGAACGGGGAGCAGCCCAGAGCCUGAAUCAGUGUGUGUGUUAGUGGAAGCGUCUGGAAAGGCGCGCGAUACAGGGUGACAGCCCCGUACACAAAAAUGCACAUGCUGUGAGCUCGAUGAGUAGGGCGGGACACGUGGUAUCCUGUCUGAAUAUGGGGGGACCAUCCUCCAAGGCUAAAUACUCCUGACUGACCGAUAGUGAACCAGUACCGUGAGGGAAAGGCGAAAAGAACCCCGGCGAGGGGAGUGAAAAAGAACCUGAAACCGUGUACGUACAAGCAGUGGGAGCACGCUUAGGCGUGUGACUGCGUACCUUUUGUAUAAUGGGUCAGCGACUUAUAUUCUGUAGCAAGGUUAACCGAAUAGGGGAGCCGAAGGGAAACCGAGUCUUAACUGGGCGUUAAGUUGCAGGGUAUAGACCCGAAACCCGGUGAUCUAGCCAUGGGCAGGUUGAAGGUUGGGUAACACUAACUGGAGGACCGAACC